CUUGAUCGAGCUUGUCCCCCAUUCACCUGAAUUAACUCUUGGCAUAUUCCCGAAACGAACAAUGUAAACGAACAACACAGCCGUGUCUAUGAAUAUGUCACUUUUGAAAGACAGUCGAUGGGACCGUCUGGGAUUUUUUUUUUUUUUUGUCCUCAAAUGAACCCACUGGCGUCGCAGAGGCCGGAUGGGACACCUACACAUCAUUCUGGAACAAACAGAGGACCAGGGUGGAGCUAGGGCUGGCAUGACUUCGGGAUUUUUUUUUUUUCUCUCCCGGAGCUAAUGGGAGCCUUGACUGAUACAUAGAGGAAUGAGAAAAUAUAUACAGGAUGUUAACAUGGUUGAGGACCGAGGUGGAAGUCUCCCAAUUCCUCAUACCUACACAGACUGUAUUGGGGAGGUACUCUACUUUCUUCAACUGGAGAAAAUGGACUCGAGCUAAGAAUACGACAUUGACUGUCAAGUGCCUGCUGAAGCAGCAGGUGGUGCUGUACCCCCAAUAAUGAGUCUAGUUUAGCCAGGUAGCAGACAUAGCAACUAAAUGAAUGUUUGCUAAUUGAGGAAAAUGGAAAUAACGGAUGGAAAGUGACAGAAGUUACAUCUCAACAUAAUAGUUUAGUAUUUAUAUAUAACUGAACAUUAACGUUUAAAGUCUUCAUUCUAAUCUAGUUUCAUCCAAAAAGUCUAUUUUCAGUCUACUAAAAUGUCAUUUUCAUGCUGACAAAAUUGCUCAUUUCAAACUGCAUUGACCAAAAAAAAAAGUGUUUUAAUAAUGCUUAUUGUUUGGGAGGACCUGACCUUAAUUAAAGAAGGCUAAUGGGUA
Molecule: long non-coding RNA, 823 nt
Organism: Hippocampus comes (tiger tail seahorse)
Lineage: Eukaryota; Metazoa; Chordata; Actinopteri; Syngnathiformes; Syngnathidae
Exons: 5
Source: RefSeq, a predicted model, not a curated record